AGCACACCCCCGUCGCCCUACCCCCAACUACCUCCCCCUCCUUCUCCGAUACUACGGCGGCGGCGGCUUUCGGUCUGCACCGGCGACUACGGAAUGGAAGAUGCAGGGUUGGAGUUUUUGCUCGGUGCCGUCGACAGGUUCCCCACUUCGGUAGGAGUUCGCUGACAGCCUUGAGCACCCAGAUCCGGCUCCUUGGGCCCUGUUGCCGGCUAGGCAAGCCAGCCCUGCCGUCCCGGCGGACUGAAACGCUGGGUCUGGGUGCGGGCAACAAGUUGGCUGCGGUGCCCGGAGAUACCACAGGGAGGGUGGGGGGUUACUCCGGCGUCUGGAUGCAUCCCCGACUAGGUCUUCCCUGUCAACCGAGGCCCCGGGAUGGACAAAGAGGUUGCCCCUCGGCAGUGCACCACCCAACCGGACGCCAUGUCCCUCUAGGCUGGGUGCACUAGGGCAGUCGAUUCACAAGUACGCAGAGGAACCUACAAAAAGUGUAAUAAGACCUGAACUUGGCCUAAGUUUCAGUUCAUUAGGCGAGGCUAUAUGACUUCUACAAUCUGUAUUCUUGAGAAAUCGGUUUCGGAAUUAGGUAUGGCAAGAUCAGACUGAACGCCAGGAGGACAAAGUUUAAUGCAGAGAUCCUUUGCGGGUGCUCUAUGCGCUCCGAUUUUUGCAACCAUCCCAAUUUGCCAUUUGUGUAGGUUGGUUGCCCUCAGUUUGAACCCCUCAAUUUCUAAAAUCUGAUUGACUGCAUGUCAUAAACGCGAGGAACUGUUUAAUCAUCAAGAAAUGCUUUGGAGUAUGGAGAACUGGAGUAACACGAGUCGACUUGCGAUUAACUGUGGUACCCAUGACUUAUCAUUUCUGUUUUGUGAAACGGGACUAUGAAUUGGAACUAGGAGUUAGUAUUAAAAAAGAAAAAACAUGGAGGAUCAAAAUUGCAGUAUGAUGCAAAUCAACUAUUUCUUCAAUGGCAAUUCCUUGCUGUAAUUUCUUCCUACUUCCUACACAAGUAAAAUUAGUAGUGAAGGACUGUAGGCAUGUCAUAUUUGUUGUAAAAAAAAGAUUCUUCCUGCAGCAGAUACUCCAUGCCAUUGAUCAUAGGCAUGUCAUAUCAGUUUUGCUAUAACAUUUUUUAAGGUGGAUCACCGUGUUUCAAAAUCUUAGAUCCGCCACUGGUCAAUGGUUAGUGCAUGGAGCACGACUGAUCCGCCGGCGCAAGGAGGGGAAGACUAGUAUAGGAUCUCACAUUAGGUGAGAGCAAUGAGAUGGACACCCCUGCACAAGGAGGCCAAGGGGGAGGUGAUAUAACAGGGAUUCCGUCUGCUAUGAUCUUCAAGCAGGAGCUGGAUGACAAGAUAGAAGAUGCAUCCCUGGAAGAAGGUUUCAGUGAGCAUGAUCCAAGCACCGGAGUGUUGGCUGACGAAGAUGAUGGCGACUCGGAUGUGCACAACGGAUCUGACAUAAUGUAUGCUAUCGAGGAAGUUGAAUCCGACGAGGAAAAUUAUGUUAGCAGCAGAGGAGCAACGCGACGGCGUACGCAAGUGUAGGUUUGCUAGAUUUGCAGGAAUUCGAUUUGCGGAGCAGCACAGGGCGUCCAAUGUUCGUCCUAGUCUGCUAGUUAGGCAGAGCACUCUUCUUUCAGUUCUUUGUGGUGUCCGUCCUGAUGCAAGCAAGAAGUUGAGAGUGCGUUAAAAAGUGUGAUGCCAGUGUGUAUGUGAUGCUUUCCGAUUGUCAACUUGAGUUCCUUAUGUAUUUAAGGUUUAAAGGUUUUUCUGA
This is a long non-coding RNA of Triticum dicoccoides, 1773 nucleotides long. RefSeq lists it as uncharacterized. The record is from RefSeq and is a predicted model, not a curated record. The transcript has 4 exons. NCBI's taxonomy places the organism in Eukaryota, Viridiplantae, Streptophyta, Magnoliopsida, Poales, Poaceae.